UUACACAUGCAAGUCGAGGGGUAUAGUUCUUCGGAGCUAGAGACCGGCGCACGGGUGCGUAACGCGUAUGCAAUCUACCUUUUACAGAGGGAUAGCCCAGAGAAAUUUGGAUUAAUACCUCAUAGUAUGUGAGAAUCGCAUGGUUUUCACAUUAAAGUCACAACGGUAAAAGAUGAGCAUGCGUCCCAUUAGCUAGAUGGUAAGGUAACGGCUUACCAUGGCAACGAUGGGUAGGGGUCCUGAGAGGGAGAUCCCCCACACUGGUACUGAGACACGGACCAGACUCCUACGGGAGGCAGCAGUGAGGAAUAUUGGACAAUGGGCGCAAGCCUGAUCCAGCCAUGCCGCGUGCAGGAUGACGGUCCUAUGGAUUGUAAACUGCUUUUGUACAGGAAGAAACACUCCCUCGUGAGGGAGCUUGACGGUACUGUAAGAAUAAGGAUCGGCUAACUCCGUGCCAGCAGCCGCGGUAAUACGGAGGAUCCAAGCGUUAUCCGGAAUCAUUGGGUUUAAAGGGUCCGUAGGCGGUUUAAUAAGUCAGUGGUGAAAGCCCAUCGCUCAACGGUGGAACGGCCAUUGAUACUGUUAAACUUGAAUUAUUAGGAAGUAACUAGAAUAUGUAGUGUAGCGGUGAAAUGCUUAGAGAUUACAUGGAAUACCAAUUGCGAAGGCAGGUUACUACUAAUGGAUUGACGCUGAUGGACGAAAGCGUGGGUAGCGAACAGGAUUAGAUACCCUGGUAGUCCACGCCGUAAACGAUGGAUACUAGCUGUUGGGAGCAAUCUCAGUGGCUAAGCGAAAGUGAUAAGUAUCCCACCUGGGGAGUACGUUCGCAAGAAUGAAACUCAAAGGAAUUGACGGGGGCCCGCACAAGCGGUGGAGCAUGUGGUUUAAUUCGAUGAUACGCGAGGAACCU
RNAcentral lists this ribosomal RNA (916 nucleotides) under uncultured Flavobacteriaceae bacterium. Its description in RNAcentral is "bacterial SSU rRNA". It matches the Rfam family "Bacterial small subunit ribosomal RNA", at positions 49 to 971 of the family's 1533-position model. Lineage: Bacteria; Pseudomonadati; Bacteroidota; Flavobacteriia; Flavobacteriales; Flavobacteriaceae. The record is from RNAcentral.